CUGCACUCCACUAUCAAAAAAAAAAAAGAAAAAAAGGAAAUGAUGAUAUGCGCUGGCUGCAAACAGCAGCCUCCUCAAUAGUACAUGCAACCUAUUGCCUGAAUGGACUGCCCUAAGAGACCCUAGAGACCAUG
Dama dama (fallow deer) is the source of this 134-nucleotide small nucleolar RNA. RefSeq annotates it as small nucleolar RNA SNORA70. The transcript has a single exon. Lineage: Eukaryota; Metazoa; Chordata; Mammalia; Artiodactyla; Cervidae. The record is from RefSeq and is a predicted model, not a curated record.